This 766-nucleotide long non-coding RNA is filed under the name Bos taurus (domestic cattle). RNAcentral describes it as "long non-coding RNA NONBTAT016926". Lineage: Eukaryota; Metazoa; Chordata; Mammalia; Artiodactyla; Bovidae. The record is from RNAcentral.
CCCUUAAAAAAAUGUUAAGUGUGUCCUCACUUUAAUCAGUUUGUAGUCUGAGAAUUCCACUAUUUAGCUUGAUCAUUUCCAAAAGCUCCUCCAUCUGCACUAUGAAAAGUCUUAAUAUUACGCACAGUUAACAAUGCUUUUAAUUAACAAAAUUCUCACCUAUAUGGGAUAAAAAUUAGAAAUACAUAUUAGAUGUGUCUUUGAUCAGCCUUAUGCUAAUCUAUAUUUUAUCAUGCAGUAAUCUAAAGCAAAGCAAGUUUUUUGUUUUUUUUUAAAGUUUCUUGGAAAUCUUGACAGCUUCAAAUAUUUAGACCCAUUUAGUUCUAAUACAAGUUCAUCUUUAUUGUCAAAGUAAAAGCAAUAUUCUUGUAAUAACUAUGUAAAUGCAAAUGAGAACCUUCUUCUCAGAGUACUUCUCACGCUCUAGGAUUUACUAAUUCUUCCUCCUUUCCUCUUAAAUAGGGUUAAUUGUUCAAGGCCAACAAAGAGCAGUUCUUUUGGAUUUUGAUAAAGAGAAAAUUUGGGGAUACAUUAGCAAGUGUGCCUGAUGUAAGCAGCUAAACACAAUAGCCAGCAUAGUCAUUAACACUGCCUGACAUAUUCAAGAAAGAACUGGCAUAGCUAAAUGUGAUUGAUGUGUGUUUAUUGUCAGAAUCAAAACUUCUUAGAGUCCACGGUUGUGUGUGAACACACUGGAUGUUUUCAUCAUCAGCUCAAUUAAAUGGGUUCACUGUAGAAAGGGAAAAAAGCCAAUGAAAGAUAUCUA